This 30-nucleotide non-coding RNA is filed under the name Rattus norvegicus (Norway rat). The record is from RNAcentral. Lineage: Eukaryota; Metazoa; Chordata; Mammalia; Rodentia; Muridae.
UGCCCUCACAUCUUGAGCUGUUGGAAGGGA